GAGUUGGCCGAGACAAUCGCUGCGUUGCUUUUAUGAGUAACGGGGAGGAAAGUCCGGGCUCCGAAGAGCAGGGUGCCAGAUAACGUCUGGGCGGCGUGAGCCGACGACAAGUGCAGCAGAGAGGAUACCGCCAGAUACUUGUAUUUGGUAAGGGUGAAAGGGUGCGGUAAGAGCGCACCGGGCCACUGGUAACAGUUGGUCGCAAGGUAAACUCCACCCGGAGCAAGAUCAAAUAGGGUUCCAUAUGGCGUGGCUCGCGUUGGAACCGGGUAGAUUGCUUGAGCCUGUGAGCGAUUGCAGGCCUAGACGAAUGAUUGUCGCUUCCGCAAGGAAGAACAAAACCCGGCUUAUGCGGCCAACUCAGAC
This 366-nucleotide RNase P RNA is filed under the name Shewanella sp. OPT22. RNAcentral's name for it is "RNase P RNA component class A". It matches the Rfam family "Bacterial RNase P class A". From Rfam's summary of the family: Ribonuclease P (RNase P) is a ubiquitous endoribonuclease, found in archaea, bacteria and eukarya as well as chloroplasts and mitochondria. The record is from RNAcentral. Lineage: Bacteria; Pseudomonadati; Pseudomonadota; Gammaproteobacteria; Alteromonadales; Shewanellaceae.